Molecule: small nuclear RNA, 173 nt
Filed under: Rhinopithecus roxellana (golden snub-nosed monkey)
Lineage: Eukaryota; Metazoa; Chordata; Mammalia; Primates; Cercopithecidae
Description: U2 spliceosomal RNA (ENSRROG00000014365.1)
Rfam family: U2 spliceosomal RNA
About the family: U2 is a small nuclear RNA (snRNA) component of the spliceosome (involved in pre-mRNA splicing).
Source: Rfam by way of RNAcentral
AUCACCUCUCGGCCUUUUACCUAAAAGCAAGUGUAGUAUCUGGUUUUUAUCAGUGUAACAUCAGACACAUUCUGUAUCUGAGGAUAGUAUGCUAUAUGGGUCUUUGGAACAGGGAGAUGGAAUAGGAGCUUGUUCUGGUCACUCCACGUAUCGACAGGAACGGUGCACUUCCU